Molecule: ribosomal RNA, 574 nt
Filed under: Meyerozyma caribbica
Lineage: Eukaryota; Fungi; Ascomycota; Pichiomycetes; Serinales; Debaryomycetaceae
Description: eukaryotic LSU rRNA
Rfam family: Eukaryotic large subunit ribosomal RNA
Source: RNAcentral
GAAACCAACAGGGAUUGCCUUAGUAGCGGCGAGUGAAGCGGCAAAAGCUCAAAUUUGAAAUCUGGCACCUUCGGUGUCCGAGUUGUAAUUUGAAGAUUGUAACCUUGGGGUUGGCUCUUGUCUAUGUUUCUUGGAACAGGACGUCACAGAGGGUGAGAAUCCCGUGCGAUGAGAUGCCCAAUCCUAUGUAAGGUGCUUUCGAAGAGUCGAGUUGUUUGGGAAUGCAGCUCUAAGUGGGUGGUAAAUUCCAUCUAAAGCUAAAUAUUGGCGAGAGACCGAUAGCGAACAAGUACAGUGAUGGAAAGAUGAAAAGAACUUUGAAAAGAGAGUGAAAAAGUACGUGAAAUUGUUGAAAGGGAAGGGUUUGAGAUCAGACUCGAUAUUUUGUGAGCCUUGCCUUCGUGGCGGGGUGACCCGCAGCUUAUCGGGCCAGCAUCGGUUUGGGCGGUAGGAUAAUGGCGUAGGAAUGUGACUUUGCUUCGGUGAAGUGUUAUAGCCUGCGUUGAUGCUGCCUGCCUAGACCGAGGACUGCGAUUUUAUCAAGGAUGCUGGCAUAAUGAUCCCAAACCGCCGC